ACCACACGAGGUCGGAACAUUUUAAAAUAAAAAUAAUUAAAUUACGGUAACCGACCUCAUGAGGUCGCUAAAUCAAAUUAAUAUCACAUACCUAACACCACUUUUCCCCAUUUUUCAUUUCCCCCUCUUUUCAUUGCCUCGAUUUCAGCCAUCGCCGCCUAUCGCCGCCCAUCGCCCACCGUCUGUAGCCCAGUUCCCGACGUCGCCGUUUCCGGCGCCGUCCACCGUCCAACCGAGGGAUUCAGUUCCACUGCUUUGUUGAGUCAAUUUGCUGAUUUCGGGAUCGACUUUCCAUUCUUGAUUCCUCAAGUAGAUUAAUGUGAAAUUUCUAUGAGAUUGUUAUUCAGUUCCUAGCCAUUUAAGAUACUACGCCUGGUGGCUGAAAAUUAGCAUUGGUAGAUUUACUCACGUUUAAUGUGCGAACUUAGCUUGUUUGGAUAGUGUCGUACUACUCUAUCGAACAGUUAAGAUGGAAUCUCG
Molecule: long non-coding RNA, 480 nt
Organism: Lycium ferocissimum
Lineage: Eukaryota; Viridiplantae; Streptophyta; Magnoliopsida; Solanales; Solanaceae
Exons: 4
Source: RefSeq, a predicted model, not a curated record